AUGCACGCUGGCGGCGUGCUUAACCCAUGCACGUCGAACGGAAAGGCUCCUGCUUGCCGGGGUACUCGAGUGGCGAACGGGUGAGUAACACGUGGGUGAUCUGCCCUGCACUUCGGGAUAAGCCUGGGAAACUGGGUCUAAUACCGGAUAGGACCACAUUUUGGAUGGUGUGGUGGAAAGUUUUUCGGUGUGGGAUGAGCUCGCGGCCUAUCAGCUUGUUGGUGGGGUAAUGGCCUACCAAGGCGUCGACGGGUAGCCGGCCUGAGAGGGUGUACGGCCACAUUGGGACUGAGAUACGGCCCAGACUCCUACGGGAGGCAGCAGUGGGGAAUAUUGCACAAUGGGCGCAAGCCUGAUGCAGCGACGCCGCGUGGGGGAUGACGGCCUUCGGGUUGUAAACUCCUUUCGCUAGGGACGAAGCGCAAGUGACGGUACCUGGAGAAGAAGCACCGGCUAACUACGUG
RNAcentral lists this ribosomal RNA (464 nucleotides) under uncultured bacterium. RNAcentral describes it as "partial 16S ribosomal RNA". It matches the Rfam family "Bacterial small subunit ribosomal RNA", at positions 29 to 507 of the family's 1533-position model. The record is from RNAcentral.